Molecule: ribosomal RNA, 619 nt
Filed under: Leuconostoc lactis
Lineage: Bacteria; Bacillati; Bacillota; Bacilli; Lactobacillales; Lactobacillaceae
Description: bacterial SSU rRNA
Rfam family: Bacterial small subunit ribosomal RNA
Source: RNAcentral
UGCUUGCACCUUUCAAGCGAGUGGCGAACGGGUGAGUAACACGUGGAUAACCUGCCUCAAGGCUGGGGAUAACAUUUGGAAACAGAUGCUAAUACCGAAUAAAACUUAGUAUCGCAUGAUACAAAGUUGAAAGGCGCUACGGCGUCACCUAGAGAUGGGUCCGCGGUGCAUUAGUUAGUUGGUGGGGUAAAGGCCUACCAAGACAAUGAUGCAUAGCCGAGUUGAGAGACUGAUCGGCCACAUUGGGACUGAGACACGGCCCAAACUCCUACGGGAGGCUGCAGUAGGGAAUCUUCCACAAUGGGCGAAAGCCUGAUGGAGCAACGCCGCGUGUGUGAUGAAGGCUUUAGGGUCGUAAAGCACUGUUGUAUGGGAAGAAAUGCUAGAAUAGGGAAUGAUUCUAGUUCGACGGUACCAUACCAGAAAGGGACGGCUAAAUACGUGCCAGCAGCCGCGGUAAUACGUAUGUCCCGAGCGUUAUCCGGAUUUAUUGGGCGUAAAGCGAGCGCAGACGGUUGAUUAAGUCUGAUGUGAAAGCCCGGAGCUCAACUCCGGAAUGGCAUUGGAAACUGGUUAACUUGAGUGUUGUAGAGGUAAGUGGAACUCCAUGGGUUAACGG